Molecule: ribosomal RNA, 506 nt
Filed under: uncultured bacterium
Lineage: Bacteria
Description: partial 16S ribosomal RNA
Rfam family: Bacterial small subunit ribosomal RNA
Source: RNAcentral
AGUGAACGCUGGCGGUAGGCCUAACACAUGCAAGUCGAACGGCAGCACAGAGGAGCUUGCUCUCUGGGUGGCGAGUGGCGGACGGGUGAGGAAUACAUCGGAAUCUACUCUGUCGUGGGGGAUAACGUAGGGAAACUUACGCUAAUACCGCAUACGACCUACGGGUGAAAGCAGGGGAUCUUCGGACCUUGCGCGAUUGAAUGAGCCGAUGUCGGAUUAGCUAGUUGGCGGGGUAAAGGCCCACCAAGGCGACGAUCCGUAGCUGGUCUGAGAGGAUGAUCAGCCACACUGGAACUGAGACACGGUCCAGACUCCUACGGGAGGCAGCAGUGGGGAAUAUUGGACAAUGGGCGCAAGCCUGAUCCAGCCAUACCGCGUGGGUGAAGAAGGCCUUCGGGUUGUAAAGCCCUUUUGUUGGGAAAGAAAUCCAGCUGGCUAAUACCCGGUUGGGAUGACGGUACCCAAAGAAUAAGCACCGGCUAACUUCGUGCCAGCCGCCGCAGUAA